GGGGCUGAAGGGUUUCGACGUUCGGACCGGAAGCCUGUUCAUGCGACCCGAGUUGCUCAGACUCGUUAAUCGGGGCAACCAAAAGAAGCGCCAACAGCGACUUCGCUCUCGCCGCCUGAUCUAGUCAGGUGAAGAGAGACAUCGUGACCAGCAAUGGCACACGGGGCCAGACCGCUACAGCCCGGCAACAGAAGUAGCGGUGGACGGCAGGGAGAGACCGCUGACGGCGUGAAAGAACGCUGGCAUCAGGGAAAGACUUGGCGGUGGACCUCGGUCCAAUCGACCCGGCGAUGUGGCAGCCGUAGAGCCACAACCACGGGAAUGGUCGUAGCAGGUCAGGUGACCGCCGAGCGGACGGGAGUUCGAUUCUCCCCAGCUCCACGA
RNAcentral lists this transfer-messenger RNA (384 nucleotides) under Microthrixaceae. RNAcentral describes it as "SSF14 sp019694615 Standard tmRNA". It matches the Rfam family "transfer-messenger RNA". From Rfam's summary of the family: Bacterial tmRNA, also known as 10Sa RNA or SsrA, is named for its dual tRNA and mRNA-like properties. Its role is to liberate the mRNA from a stalled ribosome. Lineage: Bacteria; Bacillati; Actinomycetota; Acidimicrobiia; Acidimicrobiales. RNAcentral also lists the same sequence under 1 other name. The record is from RNAcentral.